AUGCUUAGGAGGAUGUUCCAAGGUGGUCCUUCAAGGAAGCAAGGUCCCAGGCUUGCAAUACGUGACGCUAACGAGGAACCACCAAGAGACGCUUCUGUGAGGCCUUGUGAAUGGCCAUCGGAAAAUUUUAUGAAUCAAGUGGGAAUCAAAGAAGAAUUUAGCACAUAUUUGAGUAACGCCGGUCUUGAGGACUUUGAAGCUGACAAAUGCCCCCAGUAUUAUGAUCUCACAAGUUCAUUUGUGAGAAGGUUUGAGUUUUCAUCUUCUUGUAAUUCUCCUUCAGUCAUGUUUGACCUUUAUGACAAAUCUUAUACCAUGGACUUAGAGGAUUUCACUUCUGCUUGCAAACUUCCAUCUUGGGGUAAUGUCAGGGAUCCCCCUAAUCCGAAUAUAGAGACUUUCUUGCUAGAAUAA
Molecule: ribosomal RNA, 414 nt
Filed under: Triticum aestivum (bread wheat)
Lineage: Eukaryota; Viridiplantae; Streptophyta; Magnoliopsida; Poales; Poaceae
Description: partial small subunit ribosomal RNA
Source: RNAcentral